UCCCCUCUUAUUGUGCCUGGUUCAGCUUGAAGAGGAUCUGUUGACCCUAUCAACUUACGUGCUGAUGCUACAACACCAACCCCUUCCCAAGCCAUACACACAACAGGACCUGAAGUUAUGUAAUUAAUCAGUUUAGGGAAGAAAGGCCUAGUCUUGAGAUCCUUAUAAUGUUCCUCUGCCAAUUCUUGAGGACAUUGGAAGAGCUUCAGGCCUGUCAGUUUAAAUCCUU
RNAcentral lists this unclassified non-coding RNA (229 nucleotides) under Hevea brasiliensis (rubber tree). The record is from RNAcentral. Lineage: Eukaryota; Viridiplantae; Streptophyta; Magnoliopsida; Malpighiales; Euphorbiaceae.